GCCCCUGUAGCCAAGUGGACUAAGGCAUCUGGCUUCUAACCAGAGAUUAACGAGGGUUCGAAUCCUUCCAGGGGUA
RNAcentral lists this transfer RNA (76 nucleotides) under marine sediment metagenome. RNAcentral's name for it is "tRNA-Arg". It matches the Rfam family "tRNA". Rfam says of the family: Transfer RNA (tRNA) molecules are approximately 80 nucleotides in length. Their secondary structure includes four short double-helical elements and three loops (D, anti-codon, and T loops). Further hydrogen bonds mediate the characteristic L-shaped molecular structure. tRNAs have two regions of fundamental functional importance: the anti-codon, which is responsible for specific mRNA codon recognition, and the 3' end, to which the tRNAs corresponding amino acid is attached (by aminoacyl-tRNA synthetases). tRNAs cope with the degeneracy of the genetic code in two manners: having more than one tRNA (with a specific anti-codon) for a particular amino acid; and 'wobble' base-pairing, i.e. permitting non-standard base-pairing at the 3rd anti-codon position. The record is from RNAcentral.